Molecule: ribosomal RNA, 523 nt
Filed under: uncultured bacterium
Lineage: Bacteria
Description: bacterial SSU rRNA
Rfam family: Bacterial small subunit ribosomal RNA
Source: RNAcentral
GAGUUUGAUCCUGGCUCAGGAUGAACGCUAGCUACAGGCUUAACACAUGCAAGUCGAGGGGCAGCAUGACCUAGCAAUAGGUUGAUGGCGACCGGCGCACGGGUGAGUAACACGUAUCCAACCUACCGGUUAUUCCGGGAUAGCCUUUCGAAAGAAAGAUUAAUACCGGAUAGUAUAACGAGAAGGCAUCUUCUUGUUAUUAAAGAAUUUCGAUAACCGAUGGGGAUGCGUUCCAUUAGUUUGUUGGCGGGGUAACGGCCCACCUGGUCUUCGAUGGAUAGGGGUUCUGAGAGGAAGGUCCCCCACAUUAGAACUGAGACACGGUCCAAACUCCUACGGGAGGCAGCAGUGAGGAAUAUUGGUCAAUGGGCGAGCGCCUGAACCAGCCAAGUAGCGUGAAGGAUGACUGUCCUAUGGGUUGUAAACUUCUUUUAUAAAGGAAUAAAGUCGGGUAUGGAUACCCGUUUGCAUGUACUUUAUGAAUAAGGAUCGGCUAACUCCGUGCCAGCCGCCGCGGUAAUAC